GAGAGCUUUUUGCGGGGAAACUUGCACGUACAGUUUGGGGGGAGGGGUAUGGUUCUUUUUAAUCACCCUAGAU
Non-coding RNA from Capsicum annuum, 73 nucleotides. The record is from Rfam. Lineage: Eukaryota; Viridiplantae; Streptophyta; Magnoliopsida; Solanales; Solanaceae.